CGCGUAUUUUGCCCAGGCGGAGCUCGACCGCCCGUUCCGCAAAUGAUCGCCUUCAUUGACGAUCAUCGCGGUGAGUUUGGGGUCGAGCCGAUCUGCAGGGUGCUGCCGAUUGCCCCU
Molecule: regulatory RNA element, 117 nt
Rfam family: ALIL pseudoknot
Source: Rfam